AGAGCGAACGCUGGCGGCAGGCCUAACACAUGCAAGUCGAGCGCCGUAGCAAUACGGAGCGGCAGACGGGAGAGUAACACGUGGGAACGUACCCUUUGGUUCGGAACAACCCAGGGAAACUUGGGCUAAUACCGAAUAAGCCCUUACGGGGAAAGAUUUAUCGCCGAAGGAUCGGCCCGCGUCUGAUUAGCUAGUUGGUGGGGUAACGGCCCACCAAGGCGACGAUCAGUAGCUGGUCUGAGAGGAUGAUCAGCCUCAUUGGGACUGAGACACGGCCCAAACUCCUACGGGAGGCAGCAGUGGGGAAUAUUGGACAAUGGGCGCAAGCCUGAUCCAGCCAUGCCGCGUGGGUGAAGAAGGUCUUCGGAUUGUAAAGCCCUUUCGACGGGGACGAUGAUGACGGUACCCGUAGAAGAGCCCCGGCUAACUUCGCGCCAGCAGCCGC
RNAcentral lists this ribosomal RNA (445 nucleotides) under uncultured bacterium. RNAcentral describes it as "SSU rRNA". It matches the Rfam family "Bacterial small subunit ribosomal RNA", at positions 26 to 518 of the family's 1533-position model. The record is from RNAcentral.